This 253-nucleotide ribosomal RNA is filed under the name uncultured bacterium. RNAcentral describes it as "partial 16S ribosomal RNA". It matches the Rfam family "Bacterial small subunit ribosomal RNA", at positions 524 to 776 of the family's 1533-position model. The record is from RNAcentral.
UACGUAGGGUGCGAGCGUUGUCCGGAAUUAUUGGGCGUAAAGAGCUUGUAGGCGGUUUGUCGCGUCUGCCGUGAAAAUUCGAGGCUCAACCUCGAACUUGCGGUGGGUACGGGCAGACUAGAGUGUGGUAGGGGAGACUGGAAUUCCUGGUGUAGCGGUGAAAUGCGCAGAUAUCAGGAGGAACACCGAUGGCGAAGGCAGGUCUCUGGACCACUACUGACGCUGAGAAGCGAAAGCAUGGGGAGCGAACAGG